CAGAGGAUAGUUUAAUGAAGAAUUCUAGCUUUGGGUGCUAGUGGUGGGAGUUUGAAUCUCUCUCCUUUGG
Molecule: transfer RNA, 70 nt
Filed under: Spratelloides delicatulus (delicate round herring)
Lineage: Eukaryota; Metazoa; Chordata; Actinopteri; Clupeiformes; Clupeidae
Description: tRNA-Pro
Rfam family: tRNA
About the family: Transfer RNA (tRNA) molecules are approximately 80 nucleotides in length.
Source: RNAcentral